GUGUCAGCAGCCGCGGUAAAACGUAGGAGGCUAGCGUUAUCCGGAUUCACUGGGCGUAAAGCGCGUGUAGGCGGUCCGGUAAGUCGGGCGUGAAAUCUCUUGGCUCAACUGGGAGAGGCCGUCCGAAACUACCGGACUCGAGGGCAGUAGAGGGAGGUGGAAUUCCGGGUGUAGCGGUGAAAUGCGUAGAUAUCCGGAGGAACACCUGUGGCGAAAGCGGCCUCCUGGACUGCCCCUGACGCUCAGACGCGAAAGCUAGGGGAGCGAACGGGAUUAGAUACCCUCGUAGUCC
This 292-nucleotide ribosomal RNA is filed under the name uncultured bacterium. Its description in RNAcentral is "partial 16S ribosomal RNA". It matches the Rfam family "Bacterial small subunit ribosomal RNA", at positions 505 to 796 of the family's 1533-position model. The record is from RNAcentral.